UCACGAGGGCUUUACUGUCUCCUUUCUCCAAUCAGUGAAACUGAUCUCCCCGUGAAGAAGCGGGGAUGACAAUAUAAGACGAGAAGACCCCAUGGAGCUUUAAACCCAACGACACCCCUCAACCCCCCAACCCAUUAUAGUUGCUACAGCCCUGUUCGUUGGUUUUAGGUUGGGGUGACCGCGGAGUAUAAAUUACCCUCCACGACGAAUGGGACUACCCCCUUACCCAAGAGCUACUCCUCUAAGGAUCAACAGAUUGACGUAAAAUGAUCCAAGCAUUUGAUCAACGGACCAA
This 295-nucleotide ribosomal RNA is filed under the name Hoplobatrachus rugulosus (rugose frog). Its description in RNAcentral is "partial large subunit ribosomal RNA". It matches the Rfam family "Bacterial large subunit ribosomal RNA", at positions 2002 to 2460 of the family's 2925-position model. Lineage: Eukaryota; Metazoa; Chordata; Amphibia; Anura; Dicroglossidae. The record is from RNAcentral.